UGCUGCAGUUCUCUCUACAGAAUCGGUUGCUACUCUUGAGGUGGUACACUGGUGUUGCUGCAGUUUGUUUCACGAAUCCGCUAUUUAAUUGAGGAUACAAUGGGGAUCUGUUUCAGUGAGUAUAUAUUGGAUGCUAAAUCACAGUUACAUGCUAAUGGAAUCAUUAAGAUGGAAAAGAAAUCGUUGACAUGUGCUUCGACCGAAUCACAAAGCUUGCUUUACGAAACAAGAAGGAUGCAACUCCUAUAAUGCAGAUUGCUGACACAUUGUUGAGGGAUCAAUGGAAGUUCUGAUAAGAUGUUUUAAUACACCGAAAACCACAACAAGGCUGAAACAUUAUAUGAUCAAACUUCGGGGAAACCUCGAAAUGACUUGUUUCUUGGAAGUUGUUCUCUGCAUAAGAUGAUGAGAUUAAUUACAUAUUUGAUCAGUGGCUGUACUUACCUAAAUUUAUGUGUAAUGAAUUUGUGCAUUUGAAGGUGGAAUUCUUCAUGUCGAUCCCCCUAUUUUCUUUCUCACUUUCAAACUGGGAUUAAGGUCUACUUGUUAAAGAAGUGGUAUAUAAAAGCUUGUUAUCCUUUUAUAAGGGAAGAUAUUAUGAGAAGCUUUGGAGCUAAGUUUUACAAUAGAGAAAUU
RNAcentral lists this long non-coding RNA (636 nucleotides) under Helianthus annuus (common sunflower). RNAcentral describes it as "sRNA HanXRQr2_Chr08g0356151". The record is from RNAcentral. Lineage: Eukaryota; Viridiplantae; Streptophyta; Magnoliopsida; Asterales; Asteraceae.